UACGAAGGGGGCUAGCGUUGCUCGGAAUGACUGGGCGUAAAGGGCGCGUAGGCGGCUCAUACAGUCAGAUGUGAAAUUCCUGGGCUUAACCUGGGGGCUGCAUUUGAUACGUGUGGGCUUGAGUGGGGAAGAGGGUCGUGGAAUUCCCAGUGUAGAGGUGAAAUCCGUAGAUAUUGGGAAGAACACCGAUGGCGAAGGCAGCCAUCUGGACCGACACUGACGCUGAGGCGCGAAAGCGUGGGGAGCAAACAGG
RNAcentral lists this ribosomal RNA (253 nucleotides) under uncultured bacterium. RNAcentral's name for it is "partial 16S ribosomal RNA". It matches the Rfam family "Bacterial small subunit ribosomal RNA", at positions 524 to 776 of the family's 1533-position model. The record is from RNAcentral.